Molecule: long non-coding RNA, 465 nt
Organism: Elaeis guineensis (African oil palm)
Lineage: Eukaryota; Viridiplantae; Streptophyta; Magnoliopsida; Arecales; Arecaceae
Source: RefSeq, a predicted model, not a curated record
ACCCAAGCCAAGGACCACCCACAAGAGUUCUUCCUAGCUUCCUGCUGUGUGAGAGGGGAGUUGUGAGGGGAAUGGCUUCCGCACAGGCUUCGAAACCUGGGCUCGCAGCACAGCCCAAGGCAGGGGAGAGUGCACACAGGGCCCAGGGGUCUAAGCAGGCCUCCAAAAAGGCUGACCAAAAGCCUCGAGAGCCUAAGAAGAAGGGUAAGAGUGGCAAAACAGCAGCUAAGAAUUAGCGGCAGCAACUAGAAAGUUGGGACGUCCCAUGGGGACUAGAGUUACGUGAUACUUGUAUUUCUUUUCCUUUUAUGCAUGUUUUCUUUUUCUUUUCUUUUCUUUUCUUUUCUUUUUUUUUUGUUCCUUACUACUAUAGUGAUGUUUAUGCCCUGAACUCUUAAGGCUGAAUGCUUGUUGGAUGUUGGACCUGGCCUAGUGAAAUAAAGGUAUUUUAUAAUUACUAAAAAA